GAUGAACGCUGGCGGCGUGCCUAAUACAUGCAAGUCGAGCGAACAGACGAGGAGCUUGCUCCUCUGACGUUAGCGGCGGACGGGUGAGUAACACGUGGAUAACCUACCUAUAAGACUGGGAUAACUUCGGGAAACCGGAGCUAAUACCGGAUAACAUGUUGAACCGCAUGGUCAACAGUGAAAGACGGUCUUGCUGUCACUUAUAGAUGGAUCCGCGCCGCAUUAGCUAGUUGGUAAGGUAACGGCUUACCAAGGCAACGAUGCGUAGCCGACCUGAGAGGGUGAUCGGCCACACUGGAACUGAGACACGGUCCAGACUCCUACGGGAGGCAGCAGUAGGGAAUCUUCCGCAAUGGGCGAAAUCCUGACGGAGCAACGCCGCGUGAGUGAAGAAGGUCUUCGGAUCGUAAAACUCUGUUAUUAGGGAAGAACAAAUGUGUAAGUAACUAUGCACGUCUUGACGGUACCUAAUCAGAAAGCCACGGCUAACUACGUG
This 496-nucleotide ribosomal RNA is filed under the name uncultured bacterium. Its description in RNAcentral is "partial 16S ribosomal RNA". It matches the Rfam family "Bacterial small subunit ribosomal RNA", at positions 28 to 507 of the family's 1533-position model. The record is from RNAcentral.